Triticum aestivum (bread wheat) is the source of this 2190-nucleotide long non-coding RNA. RefSeq lists it as uncharacterized. The record is from RefSeq and is a predicted model, not a curated record. Lineage: Eukaryota; Viridiplantae; Streptophyta; Magnoliopsida; Poales; Poaceae. The transcript is spliced from 5 exons.
GCCGCGUUACGACAUUUCUGUCGUUUCCGAAACUACCCUCCCACUCUCUCGCUCGCUUAGCUCAGCCACUCGCUCGCUGGCUCUCGAACCCCUAGCUCACCGCCACCGGCGCCUCUCCGUCGCACGCGUUGCCGGCGCCUCUACCCCGCACGCAGCGCCUCCGCCUCUCCCUCUCGCGUCGUCGCCGCCUUUCCAUGUUGCCAUACACCGUCGCCUCUCCCUCUUCAAGAUUUCAUUUUUACUCCAGCGGCUAGAUCUGAAGCGCGGCUGCUCCACCUUCCUCAGGGUUGCGGGGAUCUCCGGCGGCUGGAUCUGAAGCGCGGCUGCUCCACCUUCCUCAGGGUGGCGGGGAUCUCCGGCUCGCUGCGCAUGGGAAGGGCCCGACCGCCGGCGGCCGCUGCGGGCAGAAUGGGAACUGCGUCGGCGACGUCGUCGGCGUCCCAGGGACAGGGCACGGCGGCACGCACUGCGGGACAGGGCACGGCGGCACGCACUGCGUGACAGGGCACGGCGACACGCACUGCCGUUGCCGCCGUCCGCCAGCGCGCCGCUGGCUGACAGGAGCAGCCACAACCACGAGGCCACGACGAGCAGGACUGUUGGCGACGGGUUGGUGCAGUCCCGCGAGGACCGCGCCGUGUGGGAUGCCGAGAUGACGUUGCCGGAGAAGGAGUCUCCGACUACCUCACGCCCACCGCUGGCCUGCACAUCAGGUCGCCGAGCCCGUACGCCGGUGUGAGCAGCCUGGGUUGCCGGGUGCUCGCCGUCCGGCAGCACACCACGGUGCGACACGGGGUGGUGGAGGCCGAGGCUCACCUAGGUCGAACCAUAUGGUGGCAGUAGGAGGGGACAGAGCACCGUGUGGUGUGAGCGCCGAUUGAAAAUCACCAGCGAGUCCUACUUCAACUACGAUGCAAUGUGGAGUGAAGUUGAGGUCUGGGAGAUCCAUUUUCUCCUGAAGAUAUGAAUAUGUAAGAUGAAGUAGAAGUACAAGUAGAAGCACAAGGUAAUCUAUCUUAUGUUAGUUAACUUGCACCCAAAUGUAAAACGUACAUGACUAUAUUAAAGAAAUAAUUGAACAUCAUUGUAUAAUGUACUUCAUGUCAUGACUAUAACCAUACAUGACUAUAUCAAACAGUUCACAGUUGAUUUGACUUCAGUGGAGACCAAUAUGGUUAGUCUGUUGUUCCAUCUAUCUACUGAGCUUGAUGUUUUCAGAUUAAAUAUCAUGUUUGUGACCUCCGGCCAUGUAUUCCCUUCGCUAGGUAUUUUUUGAUAUGGCGGAUCCACGUAUAACACCUGGCAAACUAUGCCAAGCCCUGGAAACUGUUCAGGCAAUAUUGUGAACAGUCGAUGCAGGGUAGAACUGCUUAAUGAUACACAUGAGUCUGAUUUUCAGGUGGCCAAAUACACACGAGUCUAAACAAGACAUGGGUCUGCUUUCCUCUUAAGCAGAUAUGAUCAUCAAGCUGUUUCCAGUGACAGCAGCGGAGCCUGGGGAGAGGAGAUGAACCUGGGCCUGGGGUGAGGACAGCCUGGGAUGAGGAGAGCCUGGGCAGCAGCCGAGCCUAGCUCCAGCUCGCCUCAACCUGGGCGGACUUGGAGAGGAGGAGUCCCUGGAGAUGGAGAGGAGUCCCUGGGCAUGGAGAGGAGGAGCGCCUGGGCGCCUGCGUUGGUCUGGAUGGAGGUGGAGCUAUGGCGCCUGGAGGUCUGGGGUGGAGCGCCGGCGAGGGAGCUUCUGAUCGCAGCGGGGAAGGGCGAUCAAAGAGGGGAUCUGGCUCUCGAUUGGAGCGGCGCAGGCAGCCGGCGGGGAAGGACGCCGGAGAUGCGGACGACGGAGGAGCCUGGCGAAGGGGGGGGAGGGACGGAGUCCUCCUCCGCCUGGCGAAGGGGAGGAGCGACGGAGUCCUGGCGGAGGGAAGGAGCGAUGGAGAAAGACGACGACCUGAGCGCGAUUUCAAUUCGGGGGCAGUUUUGUAAUUUCACUACUUUUCACCUGGUCGGAAAAGACCCCCCAGCGACAAUUAUUUCGGAACGGAGGGAGUAUUUCCUUAUAUCAUGAUAAAUGUUUAUUAUUCAUGCUAGAAUUGUAUUAACCGGAAACUUGAUACAUGUGUGGAUACAUAGACAAAACACAGUGUCCCUAGUAAACCUCUACUAGACUAGCUCGUUAAUCAAAGAUGGUUAAGU